RNAcentral lists this unclassified non-coding RNA (312 nucleotides) under plant metagenome. RNAcentral describes it as "partial contains 5.8S ribosomal RNA, internal transcribed spacer 2, and large subunit ribosomal RNA". The stretch from base 1 to 106 matches the Rfam family "5.8S ribosomal RNA", at positions 50 to 154 of the family's 154-position model. The record is from RNAcentral.
GAAAUGCGAUAAGUAAUGUGAAUUGCAGAAUUCCGUGAAUCAUCGAAUCUUUGAACGCACAUUGCGCCCUCUGGCAUUCCGGGGGGGCAUGCCUGUCCGAGCGUCAUUACGCACCCUCAAGCCCGGCUUGUGUGAUGGGCCCUGGCGUCUCGUUCGCGAGACGGGCCCGAAAGGCAGCGGCGGCGUCGACCCAAUGAGCCCGAGCGUAUGGGGACUUUUGUCACACGUUUGCGGUGCGGACCGGCGCCUGCUUGACUUUUCUGAUUAUCCAGGUUGACCUCGGAUCAGGUAGGGAUACCCGCUGAACUUAAG